UCCCCCUUUUUUUUUAAAAACAUGGUUUUUUGGAUUUUAAUAGAAAAUUAGGCCUGCCCGCUGAAAUAAUUUGAAGGGCUGCAGUAUUAUGACUGUACGAAGGUAGCAUAAUCAUUAGUCCCUUAAUUAGGGACGGGUAUGAAAGGUUUUACGGGGACAUACUGUCUCAGUUAUAUAAGUGAAAUUUACUUCUUUGUGAAAAGGCAAAGAUGGGUUAAAAGGACAAGAAGACCCUAUUAAAUUUUAUUUUGAUAUGAUUAUUAGUUUGUAUUUAUAAAUAGAGUAGUUGUAACAAAAUUUGGUUGGGGCGAUUUAAGAUUAGCAUGUUAAUGUUGUGAUUUAGAUGUAAAGAGAAGAUGGGAUCCAAAAGGGUUGAUAGUAAGAUAAAAUUACUGUAGGGAUAACAGCGUAAUGUUUUUUUAGAGUUCUUAUUGACAAAAACGUUUGCGACCUCGAUGUUGGAUUAAGGAGUCUUUUGGGUGUAGAAGCUUAUAAAGGAAGGUCUGUUCGCCGUUUCUA
This 519-nucleotide ribosomal RNA is filed under the name Cambala annulata. RNAcentral describes it as "partial large subunit ribosomal RNA". It matches the Rfam family "Bacterial large subunit ribosomal RNA", at positions 1793 to 2592 of the family's 2925-position model. Lineage: Eukaryota; Metazoa; Arthropoda; Diplopoda; Spirostreptida; Cambalidae. The record is from RNAcentral.